AUGGCUUUGGGAAACUUUUGUUUACAGAUUAGAAAAAUGAUGGUUGAAUACAAUGAAUUUCAGUGCACUCAGGUUUCUCUGCCUCUCCUACAAGCAGAAGACAGUCUGUGGAUGAUGAGCUGCAGAGCAGAUUCAACUGAGAUGAUUUCACCCCAUCUCCCCCUUUCUUCUGGAGAAAUAAGUCAGAUGAACACAAGUCAGAUCUGAAAGCUCUGCUGCAGUUGGAUCAGCAUGGAGUUAUAUUCCUGGGAGCUUCCAGGUAAUGCACAGCAGUUGAGAUGGUAAUUCUUUGAUGAUUUUUUUAGAUACUGCAUAUUAAUGCACUGGGCCAUCUUUAUCACAAAAAAAUGCCUUACAACAAACAAACUUCCCUCCUCUUUGUUCUCCUAUCACAAUAUAGUUGUCCCAGAUGGAAAAGGUGAAACUAUAUUUCUAGUAAUGUUUGUCUUCUGAACUGAAAGAAGAGGAAGAUUAUUUAUUUAUUUAUUUAUUUAGAGCAGGUACUGUCACACAGACUCAUGGUGUUAAAAGCUGCAAAAUAUAAGGAUAUUAGUUGCAGAGGAAAAAGGUGUUUGUGCAAAAUGUGGCAUCUCUCUGUAACUCUGAAAACACACUAGGAAGUUGCGCAACAUUCUGGGUAAAACAGCAUAGCAAGGGUUUUCAAUAAGGCCAGGAGACCCACUUGUCAACGUCACUUAGUUAUUACUGCUCCUGUGGAACAUACAUCCACAAGGACCCUGCUUGGAUUUUCCUGCAAUAUUUUAGUAUGACCCGUUAUAAACUGCCUCUCAGCAUGGGCUGACCUGCUGUAGGCUGGUGUCCAGCACUCUGUGUGGCUUCCAACUCCCCUUCUGCCCUUCUGGGAUGACUUGAGAUGGAAAGGAUGACAAG
RNAcentral lists this long non-coding RNA (891 nucleotides) under Coturnix japonica (Japanese quail). Its description in RNAcentral is "lncRNA (ENSCJPG00005001510.1)". The record is from RNAcentral. Lineage: Eukaryota; Metazoa; Chordata; Aves; Galliformes; Phasianidae.